Molecule: long non-coding RNA, 36865 nt
Filed under: Solanum lycopersicum (tomato)
Lineage: Eukaryota; Viridiplantae; Streptophyta; Magnoliopsida; Solanales; Solanaceae
Description: long non-coding RNA (SLYC_LNC000748)
Source: RNAcentral
GGGGAGGGGGGCUGGCUGGUGGUGGGUGGAUGGGGGUCAGGAAUCGGGUAAAAAAAUAAAAUUUUAAAAUUAAAAAUAUUUUUUAAAAAUUAUUGUUUUUCCCAAAAAAAUGUAGUUUAAAAUUGAAGCAUCUUUUUAUCAUAUCAUAUGAUAAGAGAACAUGCCCACAUUCACCUUUUAUACUUUUCUGAAUUUAGGGAUUUAGUUCCAACUUUAGUUGAUCCAAUCAACUUUAUCACGAGAACAAGCAACGUAAAGAAUUCUUGAACAAUCUUCUACUUUUUCAAUGUAUGUUCAUUACUCAGUAUGCACAUCUUUGGAAUGACCAAAUUAUUCAUGCCAACUAAGAAAUUAUUAGUACUUGUAAACUCCAAGUUUAUUAUGUCAUUUGCCUUUUUGCUUUAGUAAAUUCUCAAUUUAUUACUAUUAUAUGAGAAAAGUUCAACAAUACUCUAAGAGUAUAUUUCAAAUUUUUUCUUCCUCAAUUACUCUAUCUCUUCUAAAGGUGAGUCAUGAUCUCAUCACUAAAUAAACUACUCUGAUUAUCAGAAAAUUAUGCAUGUAAUCGUAUUAUUCGUGCCAAUAUUUUUUUUUUACAAACAUCAAGUUGCGAGAUAAUAAUCGACACACAUGAGACCAUCAAGAAGAAACAUCUAUUAGGAACAUUAAGUAUCUAAUAAUCCACUAGGUGGAUGAAUAUGUCCACAAAUAUUUGUAUACGUUCCUACAAUGCAGAGGAUUCAACCUCAACUUUCGUAUAUGAUGGUCUCACAAUUAGCUGCUAACAAUCUUUACAAGAAAACUCACUAUUAAAAAGAAUUUUUAGGUUUUCAACGGAUGUCCAUUUUAGUUUCCAUAAUUCGUCUAAACAUUAUAGACUAAUGAUUUCUCAGACAAUCAUGUCAAAUUAAGAAAGUAUUGAAAUUAGAAAACUUCUUAUUUACCAUAGAAUGUGUCUCAAUUGCACUAAUUCUUGUCCAAUACAAGCCUGAAUAUAAAACAUGAAUAAACAGUUCUCAUUCUUCAUGAAUGAAACACAAAUAUGUGAGCAUAUCAAAUAAUGAUAGCUUUAGUACCUUAUUCCAUAUUUAUGUGCAUUAUUCAAUUACUUGUCUUCUUUCAGACAUAUUAUGCACUACAACCACAUUCACUUUAUGUAAUGGAGCAAAUUCAAUAAAUUUCAUGACUUCUCGUAAAAAACACAUUAGUUUUUCUUUAGUCAUCAUUAUAUUAUCAAUAUGGUGCAUUGAGACUCACAUUCAAUGUCUUAUCUAUAUAAAAGUGUCUUAGGCAUAAAUCGAUGGAUCUUGAACCCAAUAUCUUAUCAUCAUGGUGUAUCAGGACUUUAACCCAAUGUUUUACCCUCUUUUUGCGAUUGGACAUAAAUCCACCGUCUUAUUCUUUUGGUGCGAUAAAACUUAAAUCUAUCGUCUUACCCAUAAUGAGGCUCAACCUCAAGCCUUCAAAAUAAUUGUAAUUUUAUCACUUUUGAAGAUAAUUAAUAUGAUCGUAUAUUUUAAUUACACACAAAAUUGAGAUUAUUGAUUUAUUAUAAUCAACAUUAGUAGUUAAUAAAUAUAGCUUAAUAGAUCACAUGCCCCAUAUAAAGGUUGAAAACAUACAUUUCACUAAAUUUUGCUUAUUUAAUAUUAAAAUAAAUUAAGGAAUUCUCUUUCGAGCCGAUCAAAAUUAAACGUAUAUAAAAUCGACAGGUCUCUUUAAAUACUUACUUUAGAUGAUACCUCCAGAUCUGUUACAUAAAUAAUUGUAAUAUAAAGAUAAAUCAUACCUUGAAGAUAUAAGAAUCUUAUUGCAUAACUUAUGCAAGAUAUCUUUUGCACUUUUCCCGUCUUCUUCAUCAUUCUUUAAGAAUAGAACAAUCGUGCUGAUAACGUGUUAUGAAACUAUAUGAAAUUAGAAGAAGAAAGUAGAGAGAAGAGAAAAGAUCUCUUAUUUAUAGUAUAUUCAGGAUUCUUAGAUCUUUCACAAAUCUUAUUUACAAUGAAAGAAAACCCUUUAUUUAUAGGUAAAACCUUACUUGGUCCCCAAGUAGGAAUCCUAACCAUAUCCUAAAAGUACUCCACAUAAUUAGACAUUCACUAUAAUACAAAUUGUUUAUAAUAGGAGGAGAGUUUUGAAAAAUGUUUUCCUUAAUUUUUGAAGGAAAGUCAUUUUUCUUAAUUUUGAGAAAAAUGAGUUAAUUUGAAAAAUAUUUUCCAAAACUUUUGUACCAACCAAACAUGAGAAAAUUGGAAAAUAUUUUCCUUCAUACCAAACACACUCUUAAACUUGAACAAAUAGACACACAUUCUAUGUGCCUCCUACACGUCAAUUUGCGUCAUAUGGUGUGUCCAUGUUUAUUAUGUCAUAUAUGACUUAUGUGUCUACUAGUUCAACUUUCUAUAAUUUUAAGUGUCAACAUGUAUGCACCCAAAGUAGGAAGACAUUAAUGUGAAGUGAGGCCAAGUUAAAUGACAUACCUAUAUUUAACAAGAUUUCAAGACAUAUGUAGUGUGGGUGUCACUUACAAUGGUGAGACGUCUGUACUUUUCUUGAGGAUGCUACAGAACUUUAGGAAACUUCCUUUCUUUCUUCCUAAGUGAUAUAACUUGAUUCCAUUUGGUAUCUUAUGAUCCGAAUAGGUAUCUAACCUUCUUCAUUCUUCUAUUUGCAAAUGGUUGAUACUAGACAUAAUGGAGUGAAAGUACAAUUUCUAGUGGCAGAAUCGACAUUCAGAUGUUGAGGUAGAAACAGAGGUAGGGGAAGGCACAGAGGGAGGGAAACAUCCUCCAAGAUGGAGCUGUGGUGGUGGUUGGGCCAAGGCCAACAACCUCUCUCCCACUACAAGAUCAUGUGGAGGAAGAGUUUGAGAUGUAAAUCGAGAAGGAUGUUGGGCUAGCGGUGGAAACACAAGUUUAGGGUUCAUGUCUUCCUCCUAUAUCUUCGGAAAUGGUUCAACAAGUGUUAAAAUUUCUAAGUGGGUUGGGAGGAUUUGUAACCUCCCCCACUAUGUCGGCUACUCAAGCACCAGUUACUAAUUUUAUUACUUCUUCAUCCCCAAGAAUGAAUAAGGCUAAGGUACUAUGUGUUUUCCAUUCAUUGUUGGGAGCUAUGCUAAAUUGAAUUGAACAUGAACCAUUAACUAAGCAUUCUGAAAUGGAAGCCUCUAGUGUUCCAUGUACAGAGCUUAAGGAUUACACAAAUUGGGUAUCAUAAAUCAGCACAGGUAGAGUUACUUACCUUCAUGUUGCAGGGUGAAGCCAAACAAUAGUGAAGGGCUUAUGUGGAGUGCCAUGCAUUAGUUUUGCCUCCAUUGACUUGAACUUAGUUCCAUGCCCUAUUCCUUGAGAAUUAUGUUCUCGAACUCUCCGAGAUUAUAAGAAGGAUUAGUUGUUGGCUCUUGCGCUAGGUAGCAUAUAACAACUUAUGAUGCUAAGUUUCAUACUUUCUCUCGCAACACUACUCAACAUGUUAGUAUUAAAGACGAGAGUGUUUUUCUUUAUGUGAAUAGUCUAAAAACUAAAGUGCAUGUCUUAUCUAUGCACAUGCCUUCGACAAGAAAGAUCUUCAAUGAGGUAAUAGACUAUGUGAUGAAAUCUGAAGAAGUUAGGUAGGUUAGGUAAGACAAAUCAUUGGCUAAGAGGUCUGAGAAUAUGAGCAAAUACAGUGGUUCCUUAUUCAAAGGUGCUAGUUAGUAGUUGUAUUAAGCUCAUCUGAUUCAAUUAGCGUUACUAGCUUCUUAGGGUAGUUAUUCAUGGGUCACAUAGUAGUCUCUGGAUCAAAGUGGUCAAGCAUCUUCUUAUUUGUUAGUCAUUUUGAUCUUACUUGACUGAGAAUAUUUCAACUAUGGUGAGAUGGUUCAAUUCAAAUGAGAAUGCUCUCAUAAAUUGAUAGGUAACCCGAUACAACAAUAUACUAAAGUUGUAGUCCUAGCAAGUGGAUACGGUAAUGGAAGAGCAGGACCAAAGAGUGGUCAUGGUAAGAUCCAGAGAGGCCGUAUAGGGUAGAGGAAAUGAUAAUUAUGGGAGGGGAGUGGGGCAUCCAGGUAGAGGGGUUCUCCGGAAUGAUGAUAGAGAUUAGUGUAACACCUUUUCAAGUAAGACUUAGGUUGAGGCAUCAUUUCUAAUGAUGACAAGUAUUGUUCUUGUCUUUGAGUGAAUGACUUAUAUCUUAUUUGAUAUGGGUUCCAAGUAUUCAUAUAUUUUUAUUAAAUUUGCAUUUGAACCUCACUUGAUUGUGGAUAUCAUUUACGCCCCAAUUAUGUUUCUACCACGAUUGGGGAGUCGGUAGUAGCAACCCAUGUGUAUUAUGCUUGUUCUAUGAUAUAUAUAUAUAUAUAUAUAUAUAUAUGAAGGUCUACACAUGGUUAGAUUUGACCAUUUUGGAUAUGCGAAAUUUCAAUGUGAUAUUGGGUAUGACUUGGUUGUCAUCUUAUUAUUUUGUGCGAAAUUGUAAUGCUAACACAGUAAGUCUAAACUCCCUAGUAGGGAUAUAAUGGAGAGGAAAGGUGUAUAUAACACUUAAUAUGAAAAGAUCAUAUCUUUUGUUCGGGCUAAAAGACUAGUGGGAGGUUUUCUUUUGUCCCACUUAGCUCUAUCUAGGAUAUUAGUCUGGAGUCCCUAUAUAUCGAAUCAAUAUCAGUGAUUCGUAAUUUCUAGAAGUAUUUCUACGGAUGUGUAUGGUAUGCCUUUGGAUAGAGAAUUUGAUUUAUUUAUAGAUUUGGAGUCGGGUACUCGCCCAAUCUCUAUUCCUUCUUAUCAAGAUUCAACUUCAGGAAUUCUUAGAUAUGGUAUUCACUUGUCUCACUACUUCACCUUGGGGUGCUCUGGUCUUGUUUGUGAAGAAGAAGGAUGAUAGUGUUUGCAUUCAAGAUCUAGCGACACUGUCUUUGUAGUCAUAAGUGUGUACUGCUUACAAAUCAUCACAACUUACAACAUAUGUUUACUUAGAGAUUUAAAUUUGAGGUAGAAGAGGUAGAUGGAGUUGUUAAAAGACUAUUAUGAAACCAUGUAGUACCACCCAUGCAAGGACAACGUGGAAGUAGAUGCAUUGAACCAGAAGACAAUUGGCAUAGGCAGUUUGGCUUGCUUGGGGUGCAUACGUGACGCUUAAUUAGAGAGACUAAAACUCCAACAUCUAAGUUCAUGCACUUGGGAAUUUCAAAAAAGGGUGGGUUGUUGGUCAGUAGUGAUAUUAAGCACAGUUCUAUAGAGAAAAUCAAAGCUAGAAAGUCUGAAAAUGUAGAUGCUACACAGGAUGAAGAUGGAGUCCUCAGUUUAGAGGACAUAUUUGGUGUUCCUAGGGUUUGUGAAUUUAAUUUUGAAAGGUUUUAAUCGAGUCUCAUGGUUCAUGGAAUUGAAUUCAUCUGAGUGUAGCUAAAAUAUAUCGAGGCUUGAGACAACUUUAAUGGUAGACAUAGUUGAGUAUGUUUCUAAGUGACAUAAUUGUUAACAAGUAAAGUAUGAGCACCAAUUGUCUAGAGAUUUUAUUUAGAGAAUGUCUACACUUGAGUGGAAGUGGGAAAAAAUAGGCAUGUACUUCGUGCAACGACUCUUUAUGACCUUAGGGAGGUAUGAUGUAAUUUGGGUCAUUGUUGAUAAAUUGACUAAACCAGCCAUUUAAUUCCAAUUUGAGUGGAUUAUAAAUCCUAUAAGUUGGCUAAGAUAUAUGUAAAAGAGAUAGCACAGUUUCACAUGAUGCCCCUUUAUAUCAUUUCAGACAAAAGCACUCAAUUUACUUCAAUGUUUAUGGUAAGUUAAGUGAAGCAUUAGUACUCAAUUAAAUUUUAGCAUAAUUUUCAUUCUUAUACAAAUAACUGUUGGAGAGGAUAGUUCAUAUGCUAGAGGACAUGUUAUAAGCAUGUAUCAUUGACUUUGGAGGUUACGUUGUUGGGACCAGUCUUACCCUUAUGCGAGUUUGCAUACAGAAAUAAUUAUUGAAGUUGUAUUAAUAUGACACAUUUGAAGCACUUUAUGAAAGGGGAUUGUAGAUCCCUUACAGGAUGAUUUGACAUUGGGAUGUGAAGCAUGUGGGUGUGGAUUUGGUAAAAGGAAGAUCAAGAUAAGGUAAUAGGCAUCCCAAUUAAACUUUUGGUAGCCUAAAGCAGACAAAAUGAGUAUAAGAAUUACAAGAUAAGAGACAUGACCUUUCAAGUUGGUGAAUAGGUAUUAUUGAAAUUGUCUCCAAUGAAAGGAGUGAGGUUUGGCAAGAAGGGUAAGCUUAGCCUCAUAUUGUUGGUCCAUUUAAAGUUCUUGACAGUGUGGGACUGGUUGCUUGCAGAUUAGCUUUCACACCUAGUUUCGUUGAGACAUCUUGUGUUCAAUGUAUCAUGUUGAAGAAUAACUAUGACUUGGUAAUAAAUUGUCAAGUGAGAUUCAAUCAUGUUAGAUAAUGAUCUUCGGUACAAAGAGAAGGUGAUUGAAAUGCUUGAUCGAUAUGUACAGAAAUUAAGGUCUAGAGAACUCAGAUUAGUGAAGGCUCAAUGGAAGCAUAUUUUAGUUGAGGAAGCCACGUCUCAGGAAAUCGAGAGGGAUAUGUAGGACAAGUACCUCUACUUGUUUGAGGAUUCAAGUACUACUUUCUUCUUGACUUAACCUAACUUUUCUUGUUUGGUAGCUCGAGAACGAGAGGCGGAUAAAUUCGUAUCUAUUGUAACGAACCCUCUAUCUUUGAUGGAUUAAUCAAUGAUAAAAUAAUUUAAGUAAGAAAACUUCUAGAGCAGUGACUUGAAAAUUCUAGGCUAGGCUAUAGCCUUUGAUGAAAUUUGAGCAAGGUGAGGUCUAGGGAAAUCUGGAAAGUAUUCGAUAAACUAUCUAAUCUAAGGCUUGUUUUUUUAUUAGCUAAGACAUUACUUAGUCCGUAGGACUUUUCAAAAUUGAUUUGGGCGAGUAGAACUUCAGAUAUCGAACUUGGUGUGAAUGGAUUAGUUUAGAAUGUCAAGGUGCGAAGGGGUAUUACAAAAGGGAGACUUUUAGGGAGAAUUCCAAAGUUUAUGUUUCUUGCAAGCUACUAAGUGGGUUAAGUUGUAGUUUAUGCAGUAUUUGCUUUAAAUCGCUCAUUAUUCUGGAAAACUCAAUUUUUGAAGAAAAAAAGGGUCUCCUAAGCGGUUUCUUUAAGUUUUCCCUAAAUUUCCUUGAUAAAGGUACGUAAGUCACUUCCCUAUCUUGAUAUUUGAUUAUUAGGCCUCAAAAUCCCUCGUAAGUUAAUCUCAAGCGGGAGUUUUUUUUAAAAAAUAAUGGUCGAAAAUAUCCUGGUUUGGGUGGGAUAAUCAUGAAACUGAGCUUGAAUUAGGAUUAAGCAAUACUUCUAGUAUAAUUAGGCCAAUUUGGGUUAAUUUUGUGCAUUUUCAUUAUUUGUAGACCUACUUCACUAAAUAAAUAUAAAUACACCUCAAUCUGCAACAUCAUAUAAGAAGUGGUUCAAACUCUUGUCGGAGCAUGAGACUCUUAAUAAAAAGUUGAGAAACGUGUUUAAAAUACCCUAUAUUUGGCAAGAGAUAUGAGGUGUACUUCACUCAUGUUGCAUAGUUUAGUUAAUCUAGUAAAGAAGUGUUAUUAAGACUGUAAAUAAUUUGGGAAUAAAACUAACCUUUCAUGCCAAAUUUAGUGAUGGCUUAUCUCUAGAGGUGACUUUUAGAGAAGAGAAGACCAAGUUUAAUCACAACAUUACCACAUUUGUAACCUUUGAAAUUCAUUCACAUAACCAAUGUUUAAACUAGAAAAUCUUACUUACUUAGAGCUUAAAUUAGAAAAUAGGUUUAUUAUUUGUCGGUACGUCAAAAAUAAAUUAAUAAUAUUUAAAUAUAUGUUUAAAUUGAUAACUUUUUUUCCUUUAAAUUUUUCUAACUCACUUUUUAAAAUAUUUAACAAACUCUGAUUAUUAAAUUAAGAAGAAAUUAUGAAUUUUUUUAAAAACCAGAAACACCACAGUGUUCUUAUUAAGUUUUAAAAAUUACAAUUUUAAAAAAAACUAUACCAGACAAGAGAUUAAACCAUAAAACUGCACUAGAAAAAUAUUAUCGAACACAGAAGUAGAUAUAAAAUAAUAGAAAUUGGAAAAAACUAUAGAAAUUUUACUAAAAAUAUCCACGAUAGUGGUGUGUGGGCUUGUGUCUAUCAAAAUAAAAUAAAAAUAUAGUGUUCUAUUUCGGGUUUGGACCCGGAACACUUUUAGUCAAAUGGGUAUCCAGUUGGACAAGUUUUAUAGGAAAAGUAUGUUUUAUAUAUAUAUAUAUAUAUAUAUAUAUAUAUAUAUAUAAAACAUACUUUUCCUAUAAAACAUGUCCAACUGGAUACCCAACCGAUUCGAAGAUAUCAAUUUCUGCGAGAUAAGCUCACUGUUGUGGGCAUACAACUUCACCUGACAUCGUUAAGGGGUCGUUUAGUAGAGUGUAUAAGAAUAAUGCUAAAUUAAGUGUAUUAGUAAUGCUUGCAUUAGCAAUUCACGUAUUAGUUAUGUAACGUGCAUUAGUUAUACACAAAUUAUUUUUAUGCAUUGUUCGGUUUGAUGUAUAAAAAAUAACAUGUGUUGCAUAAAAAGUUAAUUUAAAAAGAUACUCUCCAUUACUAUGGUAGAAAAGAUGUAAAAAAAGUUUUGAGGGACAUUUGGAUCUUUAAUCAUUUUAAUGCAUGCAUUAAAACCAUUGCAUUGCUAAUACCAAGAAAUCCUUGGUAUUAACAACACACACUUUAAUACACAAUAGAGUGUAGAAAAGAGUAUCAAACAAGAUACUAGUAAUGCAUAAGACUAAUACUUGCUUAUUUUUCCUAAUACACUCUACCAAACGACCCCUUAAGAGUUUGAUGUCCUUUAUUUUCCAGACCUAUUGUCCUACUAGGAGUAUAUCACAUCUGUAGCCAUUUAAUAUGUACGUGUAUGUUAUAAUUGAGUAUUCCUCCAACUCUUACACAUAUGUCUACUCCUAUUUAUUGGGUUUGAAAGUAAUCAAGACAUCAUGUGGAAGCUUAUGAUUCGUAAUCUUAUACUUUGUAAAUCAUAUGUCUAUAAAUUAGACGAUACAUAAAAAUAUAUUACAACAAACAUAUAUUAUUAUAUAACAUGACAAAAUUGAGCUACAUAUUUAAAAACUAAUAAAACAUAAAAAUUGUAGAGAGAAAAUUUCCUCAUCAACAAAAGUUUUUAAACAACUAAAUUGCACAUUCUAAUGUUUUAUGCUAUGAGAAUAGAAAUCUUCAAUAUAUGGAUCUCUAAACAUUUCCUCUAAACAUUUCCUAUAAGGGAUAACCAAAUAUGGAAGAGAUUUAUUUUUUCCUUUUAGGAAAAGUAAAAGCAAUUAUGAUACUUUUCUUUCAGGAACAAGUAAUACUCAAAUAUGAAAAAAAGAGAGGGUAAAACCCUAAAACUACCAAGGUUUGAGUCUAACUGUAUUCUGUUAUUGUGUUCAAGCCUAACUCAGAGUCACAAAAAACUACACAUAAGAUAAUAAUCCUUCCUUAUUCAACUUACGUCUUUCGUUCUAUAUGAUGUUUAUCUUGCAUCAAACACUUUCGAUGGGAAAAUCAAGAGCAUUUGUAUGUACCACAAAUAUCUUAGUAAAGUUGGGCAAUGCCAAGACUAGGUCCUCCGUCAUAGUUGUCUAAAGGCCUUCAAGUGCCUUUUGACGAUGUUCCAUCCAAACCCACAAGUUGUUCUUCUUUAGCAAGUUGGUCUAUGGUGCUGCUUUGGUUGAAUAUCCACUCAUGAUGAACCAAUUAUAGUAGUUACCAAGACAAAGGAAGGAGGUCAACUCAAUUACCUUUGUACAUGCCUCCCACUCUUGGAUAGCUUGUACCUUCGCCUCAUCCUCAUGCUAUCUUUUCGUUGUUGACAGCAUGGCCUAAGAAGUGUAUUUUUGAAAGUUCAAACUCACACUUCUCCCUAACUCAUUCUCCCACAAGAAUUGGAAAACAUUCCUUUAAGUGCACGACAUACUUGUCAAAGGUGUUAUUGUAGAUGCCUAUUUAAAAUGCGUAGACUACCACGAGCUGAUUAAGAUAGGGAUAAAAGGUCUUGUUUAUGAGGGUUCAAAAUGUAACUUGUGUAUUGGCUAAGUUGAAAGAAAUUAUCAACCACUCGAAGGCUCCAUAUCUCGUCACACAUGUUGUAUACUCUUGUUACGCCCCGAGCUACCCCCGAGAUGCGAACACGGAAUCUAGAACCACAAGUGAUGCCAAGCUAACCCUGUUGGCAUUAUCAUGAGCAUACUAAAGAAAAUAAACUUAUGAGGAAGUUAAAUAAUAAUUCAUAUAAAAAGAUGAGAAAUACUCAUAUACUAUAACUGAGAUAAAUGAAGUAUUGAUGAGUUUAAUACAAAGAAGAUAUUAACUCACCACUAAGUUGAAACUAACUAUGUCUGAAAAUAGCCUCUAAAUUGACUAGAAAUGCUGGGACAGGCCCCAGCUAAGUCUAGCAAAAACUGAAACUAAAAAAUUAAAUACUGAAAAGGAAAUCAUGACUAUUGUCCUUGGAGAAUGAGGGUUCACCACUGAAUCUGCCGAACUGGAGAUCGGGAAUCGAUCUAAGCGUGAUCUGCAUGCUGAGAAAUAGAACCUACAUCACGAGAAGAUAUAGCGCACGUAUCCGUCAGUAUUUGAAGCAAGUGAGCAUGUAGGAUAGGGUAAAGCUGAAACAAAACAUAACUGAACAAGCACAAAAACAAGUAUAAUAAUCUGAACAUAAUAUACUGAAUUUUGAGCUAACUGGAUGCAAUGACCAAAUUUAUAACAUGCUGAGACUAAAUAAUAACUUAAUUCUAAAUAUGGUCAAUGCAUUAAAGUGUCUGACUGAACUUUGGGAGCUACUAAUAACCGAUAAUAAAACCAUGUGAGGUAAAUGUGGAGUAUGAUGUAUACGCCCCAUCGAGAGGACCCAAUAUACCCUGCCAGAGGUAUAAAGGCACGCUAGUGUAAUCACUAAACUGAUUUCCCACAGAGAGGACUUACAACCUAUUUGGCUAGUAGUUUUGAAACUAAUUGGAUACGCUAAACCUGGUCCAACUCAGUAUUAUGCUACUCCCAAAUUAUAUAACUAACUGAUUACGACUGAGUUUUCUUUAAAUAUUGGAUAGCUCAAGCUGCACAUGCAAACUGAGAAUGCAAUAAUAAAUCUGGUAAUUAUAUAUUUAUAACUGAGACAUGUAUAUCUGAAGUAACUGAAAUAUCUGACCUAGCAUGUGUAAUUCAAGAACUAAAGAAAUACAUCGAUAGGGUGCUGAAAUUCAUGCAAUAAUCUGAGUGAUAACAUGAUAAUCUGAUUUGGAACAUAUAACUAAUAAAUUCAUGAAGUUUUAUUGAAGUUCUAGAAACCCUAGGCCUAAUCAUGAUAUGAGAAUCAAGAAUCUGACUGAAAACUAGGGACCCAAUGGGUAAAAGGAAUCCACUAGUGAAAUCCCACAUACCUGGUGAUGAAAUCAAUGGAUAAAAUAUUUAAAUUUCGGAGAUAGAACUGAGGGAACCUUGCUGCGUUCUUGAACUAGGGUUCUUGACCUUUUUCUCUUUUCUUGCUUCUAAUUUUCUAAAUUUUGAUUUAUGAUUUUGACUUAGGUAAUUUUUAGUUAGUUUCUAGGCUUAAACUGACUAAAAUCUGAUAAUUUAGAGUCAAAACGGCGUAUCUUAGGGUUUAAACAGAGUGGGAAAAGACCAAAAGACCCCUGAGUUAAUUGUUGUCGGACUAAACGACGACCUUGACUAACGGGCCGUUGUUCAAUCGGUUGUCCGUCGUUUUGGUCCAUAGGUUGGGUCUGUUUGACAUGACUUUACUAAAACGGACAUAACUUUUUACUCGGAGGUCUGAUUUUAGAAAACUCGGUGGAUAUCAAAAUCUAAUUCAAUUAUCUAUCAUUUCAUAAGUCACAGGACACCUAAUAAAAUUUGUGCUAAGAGUUAUGAUCAUUUGAGGUUGACCCAAGUGUAUUUUUUCCUAGGUCCGUCCAUCAUUCGACACUUAGACAAAUUUUUUAGGCUGAGUUUUUGGGGGCUUCCGACUCAAACAACGGAUGCACAGUACGGGCCGUAGAUCAGACUAUGAUCCGUCGAUCAUAACUGUUGGUUGCACCUGCAGAUUUCUGAAAGGUUGAUUUCUGGUCUAUAUUAGAUAUUGGGUGUCACAUUAUUCCCCCCUUGGGAACAUUUGUCCCCGAAUGAAGACUAAACUAGCUGAAAUAGAGGGAGAGAGAUUCAAUCCCUACUACUAAGCACUGAGAACUGUGUUUCUGACUAAAUUGAGUUUCGAGAACAUGCAAAUACGCUGAAAAUGCAAGUACAAACUGAGGGAACAUGAUUCUAAGACUGAAUUCACGCAUGAAUAACUGAAAACUGAAGAGGAACUACUAUCUCAAGCGAGAGUGGAAUCGGAAGGAAAGACGUGAGGAUAAAUGUCUUUCAUGGCUGCUUUUGCUUCCCAAGUAGCUCCCUCUACAAACUGAAUCCUCCUCAAAACCUUAACUGAAGCGACUUCUUUGUUCCUCAACCUUCUAUCCUAACGGUUAAAAAUCUCAACUGGUACAUGCUCAUAAGAAAGACUAUCUUUCACCGCUACACUCUCUAAUGGCACUACAGAGGAUGGGUCACCCAAACACUUUUUCAAAAGCGAGAUGUGGAAGACUGGAUGUACUGUUGCUAGUUCUGCUGGCAAAUAUAACUCAUAGCCACCUUGCCAACCCUUUUCAAGAUCUUGUUAGGGCCUACAUAUCUAGGAAUGAGUUUCUCUUUCUUGCCAAAUCUCAUCACUCCUUUCAUAGGUGACACUUUCAGAAAAACCCAAUCCUCAACUUGGAACUCUAGUUCCAUUCUCCUUACAUCUGCAUAAAAUUUCUGACAACUCUAGGUUGUCUUAAGCUCUCUCUAAUGAGUUGCACUUUCUCCAUAGCAUAAAAGACUGAAUCUGGUCCUAUCAAAGUUCUUUCACCUACUUCAAACCAACCAACAAGAGAUCUACAUCUAUGCCCAUAAAGUGCCUCAUAAGGGGCAUCUUAAUGCUGGAAUAAUAGCUAUUGUUGUAGGCGAACGCAAUAGGAGGAAGGUGAUCAUCCCAACUACCCUUGAAAUCAAUCACACAAGCUCUAAACAUAUCCUCUAGGUCUUGAAUGGUACGUUCUGCCUGUCCAUCUUCCUGUGGAUGAAAUGUUGUGCUAAGGUUAACUUGAGUACCAAGACCCUUCUGAAAUGACUUCCAGAAUUGAGAGGUAAAUUGAGGACCUCUAUCCGAGAUUAUAGACAAAGGAACUAUAUGUAACCUCACAAUUUCAUUAAUGUGAAGCUUGGCAUAGUCCUCUGCCAAAUAUGUAGUCUUGACAGCUAAAAGCGAGAAGACUUAGUAUUCUAUAAACUAUCACCCAAAUGGAGUCAUGUUGUCUGCGAGUACGAGGUAACCCUAUGACGAUAUCCAUAUUUAUCACAUACCACUUCCAAGUAGGAAUAUCGAUCUCUUGAGUCAUACCUCGUUGUUUCUGAUGUUCUACCUUGACUUGCUAGCAAUUGUGGUGUUUACUCACAAAAUCUGCUAUAUCCCUCUUCAUGCCAUCCAUCAAUAGACUUCCCGCAGAUCGUGAUACAUUUUAGUGGAACCUGGAUGAAUAGAAUAUCUGAAGUUAUGGGCUUCUGCAAGGAUAUGCUUUCUCAACUCACCCACAUCAGGAAAAUACAAUCUACCCUGGUAGCGAAGUACACAAUAUCCCCCGUUGGGAGAAAACCUGCACUCUCUAAUUGUGGACUGCACCCUUAAGUUCAAUCAAGAUUGGAUCACUAUUUUGCUUUUCCUUAACCUUUACUGCCAAAGAAUAUUUUUCCCAUUCUGAACUGUUACACCACUAUCUGAUAUGCUCAUAAGGAGAACUCCCAAGAGAGCAAGCCUGUGAAUAUAUUUCACUAGAUCCUUUCUUUCUUCCUCAACAUGGGCUACACUAACCAUACAUAAUCUGUUAAAAGCAUCUGCUACUAAAUUCGCCUUACCACGAUGAUAAUGUACACUCAUAUCAUAAUCCUUAAGGAACUCAAGUUAUCUCCUCUGGCCAAGAUGCAACUCUUUUUGGGUGAACACAUACUGAAGGCUCUUAUGAUCACUGAAUACAUAUACAUGAACACCAUACAAGUAGUGUCUCCAGAUAUUAAGUGCAAACACCACUGCUGCAAAAUCGAGGUCAUGAGUUGGAUAGUUCUUCUCAUGCACCUUAAGUUGUCUAGAAGCAUAAUAUAUAACCUUAUCUCGAUGCAUCAACACACAACCUAGGCCAACACUAAAUGCAUCACAAUAUAUCACAUAACCAUCUGAACGCUCUGGUAGACUCAAGAUUGGAGUUGUAGUCAAUCUAGUUGUCAAUUCUGUAAAACUUUUCUCAUAAUCACUGACCAUCGAAACUUGACCAUCUUCUGAGUUAACCUAGUCAAUGGUGAGGUUAUAGAUGAGAAUCCUUCCAAAAACCUUCUGUAAUAACCUACUACACCUAAGAAACUUCUGAUAUCUGAAGCAGAGGUAGCUCUGGGCCAUUUUUUCACUGCUUCUAUCUUGUGAAUCCACUCGGAUAUCUUCGCUAGAUACAAUGUGACCAAGGAAAGCAACAGAUUGCAACCAUAACUCACAUUUGCUAAACUUAGCGAAUAACUGGCGAUCUUUAAGAGUCUGCAGAACAACUCUCAGAUGACUCGCAUAUUCUUCCUCAUUCCUAGAGUAAAUGAGGAUAUCAUCAACAAAGAUGAUAACGACCAAGUCCAAGUACUGUUUAAACACGCUGUUCAUCAAAUUCAUGAAAGCUGUAGGAGUAUUGGUUAGUCCGAACGACAUAACUACAAAUUCAUAAUGACCAUACCGAGUUCUGAAGGCUGUUUUCGGAAUGUCAUUUUCUCUGACUCUAAGAUGAUGAUAACCCGAUCUAAGGUCUAUCUUUAAGAAAUGGCUAGCACCUUGAAGUUCAUCAAACAAUUCAUCAAUACUGGGGAUGGGAUAUUUAUUCUUGAUUGUAACCUUGUUCAACUGUCUAUAGUCAAUGUAUAUUCUGAGAGAACCAUCUUUAUUCUUUACGAACAACACUGGUGCACCCCAUUGUGAAAUAAUAGGUCUGAUGAAGCCCUUAUGUAGAAGAUCUUUCAAAUUCUCUUUCAAUUCCUUAAGCUUUGCUGGAGCAAUUCUAUAAGGAGGAUGAAAUAGGCUGGGUAUCUUGAAGGAGAUCAAUUCCAAAGUCGAUUUCCCUUUCGGUAGGGACUCUGGGAAGAUCUAUAGGAAAUACUUCUCAAAACUCAAGAACUACUUAAACUGACUCAAGAGUUGGAGUUUUAGAGCUAGAAUCUUUAACCCGAACUAGAUAAUACAUAUAAUCCUUAGAGAUCAUCUUUAUGGACUUAAGGUAAGAAAUGAAUCGACCCAUAGGCGCUAAGCAACUACCCUUCCAUUCUAAGAUUGGUUCGUCUGGAAACUGAAAAUGAACAUUCCUAGUUCUACAAUCGACUAAGGAAUAACAUGAAAGUAACCAAUCCAUGCUUAGAAUGAUAUCGAUGUCUACUAUUUUAACUCUACAAGAUCUGCUGAGGUGACUUUCAGAGAGACUGUGACAAGGCAAUUUUUGUAUACCCGUCUAGCUAUAACUGGGUCAUCGACUGGAGUAGAGACUAAGAAAGUUUCUGAGAGAGUUUCUGGAUUAACACUAAAUUGGGCUGCUAUGUAAGGAGUUACAAAGGAAAGAGUAGCCCCUAGAUCUAACAAUGUAUAAACAUCAAGGUCAAAGAGUCGUAAUGUACCAGUGACUAAAUUAGGAGAACCUUCCUAAUCCUGGCGAACCUAAAGAGCAUACAGCCUAUUCUGGCACUGACCGCCACUUGUACCAGAUGAGUUACCCUGCUGAGUCGGGCGACUUGGUAGUGCUGAUGAAGUUGUAGACUGAGCUCUACCGUUUCCACCUCUUUGACCCUGUCAACAAGGACAAUCCCUCAACCUGUGACCAAACUGACCUCAUCGAAAACAUCCUUCUUUUCCUGCGAGGCACUCGCUUGGAUGGUGCUUACCACACUUUGAGAAAGUGGGGUAAGUCUUGCUGCUUGAAACACUUCCCUGAGAGUUAGAUCCUGGUGCUCUAACCUUUUGGUCAUACCUGUUCUUGGAGGAUGGAACACUAGUUGACGAAGUAAAUGGAGCUGAAAACUUCUGUUGGUUCUGCGAGUGAUUUCCACCACCCGAUUUCUUCUAAGAAUAGUCAUAUUUUCCAGUCCUAGCCUUCUUAUUCUCCUUGGCAUGUUCCCUAAGCUUAUCACCCUCAACAUGUUGAGCGUGAGUCACAAGCCUAGAGAUGUUCAUAUCUUUCAGUAACAUAGCAUUUCUGCACUCAGUUUUCACCAAAUCUGACACUCCAUCAAAGAACUUUUUCAUCUAAGCCCUGGGUUCAGCAACCAUGUGAGUUGCAUACCUGGAGAGUUGGUUAAACUUGAGCCCAUACUCUUGUAAUGUCAUGUUUCCCUGCCUCUAGUUCAUGAAUUCUUGAGACUUUGCUUCUCUCAACUCUAUUAGGAAAAACCUAUCCAAAAAGGUCUCACUAAAGCAAUCCCAAGUAAUAGGAGUUGUAUCUGUACCCCUAUUUUCUUUCCAUUGAGUGUAUCAGAUAUGAGCAACAUCCUUCAAUUAGUAUGAUGUAAACUCAACCCAAUCAUUCCCAGUGACUUGCAUUACCUGAAAGAUCUUCUUGAUCUCAUCCAAAAAAUUCUGAUGAGUUUAAUACAAAGCAGAUAUUAACUCACUACUAAGCUAAAACUAUGGCUGAAAAUAACCUCUAAAUUGACUAGAAAUGCUGGGACAGGCCCCAGCUAAGUCUAGCAAAAACUGAAACUAAAUGACUAAAUACUUAAAAGGAACUCAUGACUAUUGUACUCGGAGAAUGAGGACUCACCAUGAAAUCUGCUGAACUAGAUAACGAGAAUCGAUCUAAGCGUGAUUUGGAUGCUGAGAAACUGAACCUACAUCAUGAGAAGAUGUAGAGCACGUAUGUGUCAGUAUUUGAAGGUACUGAUCAUGUAGGAUAGACUAAAGCUGAAACAAAACAUAACUGAACAAGCACCAAAACAAGUAUAAUAAUCUGAACAUGAUAUACUGAAUUUUGAGCUAACUGGAUGCAAUAACAAGAUUUAUAAUAUGUUGAGACUGAAUAAUAACUGAACUAUAAAUAUGGUCAAUGCAAGUCUGACUGAACUGUGGGAGAUACUAAUAACUGAUAAUAAAAUCACAUGAGCUAAAUGUGUAAUCUGAUGUAUACGCCCCAUCGAGAGGACCUAAUAUACUAUGCCAAAGGCAUAAAGGCAUGCUACUAUGAUCACUAAACUGAUUGCCCACAGAGGAGACUUACAACCAACUUGGCUUGUAGUUCUGAGACUAAUUGGGUACGCUGAACCAUAGUCCAACUUGGUAUUAUGAUACUCCCAAUGAAUUAUCUAAUUAAUUGAUUAUGAUUGAGUUUCUUUAAAUACGGGAUAGCUCAAAAUGAAUAUGCAGAACGAGAAUGCAAUAAUUAAUCUGAUAAUUAUGCAUUUAUAACUGAGGCAUGUAUAUCUGAAGUAACUGAAUAUCUGACCUAGCAUGUAUAAUUCAAAAACUAAAGUAAUGCAUAGAUAGGUUUCUAAAAUUCAUGCAAUAAUCUGAGUAAUAACAUGAUAAUCUGAUUUGGAACAUAUAGCUAAUAAAUUCAUGAAGUUCUGAUGAAGUUUUAGAAACCCUAGGUCUAAUCAUGAUAUGGGAAUCAAGAAUCUGACUGAAAACUAGGGACCCAAUGGGUAAAAGGAACCCACUAGUGAAAUCUCACAUACCUGGUGAUGAAAUCCACGAUGAAAUAUUUAGAUUUCGGGGCUGGAAUUGAGGGAACCUUGUUGCGUUCUUGAACUAGGGUUGUUGACCUUUUUCUCCUUUCUUGCUUCUAAUUUUGUAAAUUUUGAUUCAUGAUUUUGACUUAGGUAAGUUUUAGUUAUGUUUCUAGGCUUAAACUGACUAAAUCUGAUGAUUUAGGGUAAAAAUGACUUAUCUUAGGGUUUAAACGAAGUGAGAAAAGAUCAAAAGACCCCUAAGUUAAUUGUUGUCGGACGUAACGAAAACCUGGACUGACGGACCAUCUUUCAAUUGGUUGUCCGUCGUUUGCGUGCGUAGGUUGGGUCUGUUCGACAUGACUUUACUAAAAUAGGCAUAACUUUUUACUCGAAAACUUGAUGGCUAUGUAAAGUUAAUCCAAUUAUCUAUCAUUUAGGUCAUAGGACAUCUAAUUUAUUUUUUGCUAAGAGUUAUGAUUUUUUGAAGUUGACCCAACUGCAUUGCCUCCUAACUAUCUGCUAAUUUCCACCUACAAUGUGUUGGUCCAUCUACGAACCAUACUGGUCAAUCGUGGUUCUUAUUAGAGAGUGGGUAAAUGGGGUCUUGAUCGACAGACAUAGACUACAAACCGUAGUCUGACCUACAGACUGUAGGUCCGUCCGUCGUUCGACACUUAGUCAAAUUUUUUGGGCUGAGUUUUUGGAGGCUUUAGACUACGGUCCGUCGAUGGUAAUCGUUGGUUGCAUUUGCAGAUUUCUAAAAAACUGAUUUUUGGUUUGUUUUAGAUACGUGGUGUUACAACUCUCAUCUCCAUCUGCACUGUAAUGGAAUUACAAAAGUGAGUUUAUUCCACUCAAUAGGUCCUUAGAAUUCAAUAAAUUUUUCAGGUUCUCAUUAAAUGUUUAGAUAUGGGGUUUCUAGAUUUUAUAAGAUAUAUUGUGAUUAAGAUUUUUUUGAUUCAUAUAAAUUUAUUUCUUGAUAAUUUAAUAUAGUUCCAUGCAUAUCAGUCAGAACCCUAGAUUGUGUAAAUUUUUCCUAGUUCAUGAAUUUUACUUGCUAGGUCAACCAGACAUAAAUUCAUGCUCAGAUUUUGAAUGUCAUAUUCUCAGUAUAUAAAUGUUUUAUUCUCAAUUAGCAUGUCAAUAUUUGAGAAAUUCAAUAUUUAGUGCAUUUUUGCUUCAUAAAUAUUCAGAUGAGAGUAGACUUAGCACCGAGUUGAGCUAGGGUUCAGCAUAUCCUCAAAGUCCCAAAAUUACGUGCCUGCGUAGGUUUAUUAUUCCCCUUUGCUGGAAAUUAGAUUUAGUGAUCACGCAACAGUCAUCUCUCUAUACCCCUGGCAAGUUAUAUUUGGUCCCAUCUGUGGGGCCUAUACAUCAGACUCCAUGUUUAGCUCACAUGGUUUAUGUCGGUUAAUAGUAGCUUCGACAGUCAGACUCUUAGUGUAUUGACCACGUUUUCAGCAUUUACUUCAGAAAUAUGUUCAACAUGUUAUCUUCAUCAUUAGUGCUUGGUCAUUGCACUCAGUUUAGUUCUCAUCUAUACUUCUCUUUAUAUCUAUAUUAUUGUUUAGAAUAUAUCAUAACUCAGUUAUACGUUAUUCAACCUUAAUACUUUGUUCAACUUAGCAUAUCUCUAUACUACAUGCUCAGUACAUUGAAGCACAUACUUUUCUACAUCAUUUCAUGAUGUAGGUUACGACACUCGGCAUCUAGAUCAUGCAUAGAUUAAUCCUCGGUUCAACUUCAGCAACUUCUGUAGUGAGUCCAGCUCAUACUUCGAGGACAAUAGACAUGCUUUCUAUUUUAGUCUUCACUUCAAUUUUCAGUUUUGCAAGAGUUAGUUGGGGGCAAGUCCUUUCAGACAUAUAGUCAGUGUUGAGUUGUUUCCCCUAUAUAUUCAGAUAAAUUUUCGUUUGGAUUCAAAUUAGUUUUGUCUCAUUUAACAGUUAUGUUGUUGCUUACCUAGUUAUAUUUUUCAGUAUGGUUGUUAUAUGCCAGACUCAGGAUUAUCUUGGGCCACUCGUGAUCCUAGGUCUCGUGCAACAUAUAGGGAUAGCCUCGAGGCGUGACAAGGAAGGUGCUUAGGUAUCUUGUCAUGCAUAACAUCUUUAUUCUUUUCCAGUAGCUUCUCUAUGCAAGGCUACAACGUCACUUAUUCCUUUUUUAUUUGGUGUGAGCUCAACUUAAGCUAUACAUUGCCCGAGAAGAGCGGUUUGGGUGCACUUCAACCACUUGAGGCUCCUAAUAAACCAUGUAUUCCUCCAUACUUUCAGUGGUUUUCCUGAAUAUCGGCUCCCCCUUCUUAAGCCCCUUGACAUAGCCAAAAUAUGUGCUUGGCUAUGUUUGUGUGGCAUAGUCACUGUAGGCACCAUGCAAGAUCCUUCUUAUUCCAUGACCAAGAGACACUAGAGGUAGGGGCCGAUCAUGGCAUGAAAAUCUAAUGAAAGAAUUUAUCGCAUGACUAUGUCUGCAUUCACAUGCACCAGCUGCUUAAGGUUGGACAUGACAGAUGGGGACUGGCUAGGUCUAUGUAUUAUAUCUGGAUCGCUUGAUUGUAGGUGAUCGAAGAAAAAAUCAAAUGAAAGUAAUAUCUACAAAUCCUACCGAUAAACAAUUGAAGAAAAUUAUUAUCUGGCUGAAAUUGUAAUGUUGUCAAAUGUAAAAAAAAUCAUAAAAUUUGAGUUCAGGGGGAAAUGUUGCUGAAAUUUCGAUCAUAAUUUAAUGGAUACUUAUGUCUUAUCCCAAUUUCUCCAUAAGAUAAUUUUUCUGGCUUAGCCGCCUGAACAUUAUCUAUGUGAAGAAAUUUCAAUUUUACAAAUAUGGUAGUGUUGUGAUUCUACUUCAUCUCUUCUUCUCCCUAUUAUAGUAAAAACCACCUUUUUGAGAUAGGAUCCUUGAAAAUAUUAUUAUUUUCUAAGUUUUCAGUUUGUCCUUUCCACUAAUGUUGUGGAAAAUAAGAAAAUGUCUAGGAACAUACCGUGUCGAAUUAUGUUUGUCAAUUAAUUUUUAAAAAUUAAUAAUAUGUGUUUGUUAUGUUUUGCAUUAAAAUAAAAACAUAAGAUUCUUUAACUUAGUAUUAACUCACAUUUAUAUUUUUUUAUUUUGGGCGUGCACAAAUAAUCACAUUUAUCAUAUAAUACAUGUAUGAUGUCAUAUAGGAUUCUAUGUAGGAUGUGAAUUGUCAUAUAGGACGCCAAGUAGAAUCUGAGUGUCCACUUAUUAAAUCUAUAAUAAUUUAAAUGGCUAUUGUGCACAUUCAAAAUUAAUGAAUAUAUAUAUAUCAAAUGAGAUCAAGGUAAAGGCACGUUAAUAUAUUAUAUCUAAUAUAGAAGUAUUACUUAUAUGAGAAAAUAGAACGAAUAAAAAUAUCAUUCUCACACAUUACUAAUUUUCUUCUUUCCCCCACAUGAACUUAAACUUUUCAACAAAAGUAGGCACAUCACUCACUAUAAAUACCACAUGCAUUCUUUUACUUAAAUCACAUCCAUAACUAAUAAUAUUACUGAUUAAAUAUCUCAUAAAAAUAAGAAAAAUGAAAAUGAUGAAAUUUUUUGUGCUUGUUGUAACUAUUUUAGCAUUGUUGCUAAGUGUAGCAAAUGCACAACAAUGUGGAAGUCAAGCUGGUGGAGCUUUGUGUGCCAAUGGGUUAUGUUGUAGUCAAUAUGGUUAUUGUGGCACUACUCCUGAUUACUGUGGACAGGGAUGCCAGAGUCAAUGCAACUAAAUUAUGUUUUGUGUGUACGUUCUAGCUUGAAGGCUAUGAUAAUAAUAAGGUAAUAUAUAUCCAUGUGGUUGUGUGUUUAAAAUAUAUAAAUUUGUAUUACUAGAAUAAAGUGGGAACAUGUAUGUACUGUGAGUUAAUUCCACAAGAACAAGAAUAUAGUGUCUGGUCAUGAACACUAUAUAUGUACUAGCUUGUUUGUUUUCUAUUUCAAUGUGAUGUUUAUUAAGAAUGGUCAAAAACCACUUAAUAAAAAUGUCCACUAAUUAAGUAUUAUUAGAUUCAUCCAAAUAAUUUUAUUUUCCAUAUCAUGUUUUCAGCCAUGUGUUAAACAUAUAUAUCAAAUAAAUAGUCCAAUUCAAAUUAGAAAGAAGCAACGUGCAAGUCAAAUAACAAAUAGACCAGACUUUAACACAUAAAACAAUUCAUAGUCAACAAGUAUAAUUAUCAUAUGAUCAACUAUAUCAAUAAAGAUCGUCCAGUCAUUCAAUACUCACUGUUAGGAUCGAAAAUAAUUAGAUGUAAUGCGAAAGUUAACAAAGCAAACUUCGAUAGACCUCGAUAGAUCACGCGCGAGUAAGAAGACAAACAAGAAAUAUAUCAAAAGACACAAAGAUUUAACGUGGUUCGGUCAAUCAAUCUACGUCCACAAAGAAAUGAAAAAUUCACUAUAUAAAUAUGAGAGUACAAAAAUUCACUAUAUAAAUCGGUCAUAUCUAUAUUCUUGUUCAGAAUAUUCAUAGCUCAGUUAUACAUUGUUCAACCUUUAUACUUUGUUCAACUUAGCAUAUCUCUAUACUGCAUGCUUAGUACAUUCAAACACAUACUUUGCGCUAUAUCAUUUCAUGAUGUAGGUCACGACACUCAGCAUUCAGAUUAUGCAUAGAUUAAUCCUCGGUUCAACUUCAGCAACUUCUGUAGUGAGUCCAGCUCAUAUUUCCAGGACAAUAGACAUGCUUUCUAUUUUACUCUUUACUUCAAUUUUAAGUUUUGCAAGAGUUAGUUGGGGGCAUGUCCUUUCAAACUUAUAGUCAGUGUUGAGUUGUUUCCCCUAUAUAUUCAGAUAAAUUUUCAUUAGGAUUCAAAUUAGUUUUGUCUCAUUUUUUAGUUAUGUUAAUGCUUUCCUAGUUAUAUUUUUCAGUAUGGUUGUUAUAUGCCAGAUUGAGGAUUAUCUUGGGGUCACUCGUGAUCCUAGGUCCCGUAAAACGUAUAGGGAUAGCCUCGGAGCAUGACAAGGAAGGUGCUUAGGUAGCUUCUCUAUGCAAGGCGGCAACGUCUCCUAGUAAACCAUGUAUUUCUCCAUACUUGCAAUGGUUUCCCUGAAUAUCGGCUCCCCCUUCUUGAGCCCCUUGACUAAUUGCAUAGCCAAAAUAUGUGCUUGGCUAUGUUUGUGUGGCAUAGCCACUGUAGGCACCAUGCAAGAUCCUUCUUGUUUUAUGACCAAGAGACACUAGUGUAGGGGCCGAUCAUGGCAUGAAAAUCCAAUGAAAGAAUUUAUCGCAUGACUAUAUCUGCAUUCACACGCACCAGCUGUAUGAGGUUGGAGAUGACAGAUGGGAACUGGCUAGGUCUAUCAUCUAUGUAUUAUAUCUGGAUCGCUUGAUCGUAGGUGAUCGAAGAAAAAAUCAAAUGAAAGUAAAUUGUAUCACAUGACUAUAUCUUCAUAUCUAAAAAUCCUACCGAUAAGCCAUUGAAGAAAAUUAUUAUCUGGUUGAAAUUGUUAUGUCAGCACAAAAAAUGUAAAAAACUAAAAUCAUAAAAUUUGAGUUCGGAGGGAAAUGUUGUUGAAAUUUCAAUCAUAAUUUAAUGGGUACUUAUGUCUUAUUCCAAUUUCUCCGUAAGAUAAUUUUUCUGGCUUAGCAGCCUGAACAUUAUCUAUGUGAAGAAAUUUCAACGUUACAAAUAUGGUAGUGUUGUGAUUCUACUUCAUCUCUUCUUCUCCCUAUUAUAGUAAAAACCACCUCUUUGAGAUAAGAGCCUUGAAAAUAUUAUUAUUUCCUAAGAUUUCAAUUUGUCCUUUGCACUAAUGUUGUGGAAAAUAAGAAAAUGUCUAGAAACAUUAAUUUUUAAAAAUUAAUAAUACGUGUCGACUUAUGUUUGUCAAUUAAUUUUUAAAAAAUAAUAAUGUGUUUGUUAUGUUUUGCAUUAAAAAUAAAAACAUAAGAUUCUUUAACUUAGUAUUAACUCACAUUUAGAUUUUUCUAUUUUAGGUGUGCACAAGUAAACACAUGUAUCAUAUAAUACACGUAUGAUGUCAUAUAGGAUUCUAUGUAGGAUGUGAAUUGUCAUGUAGGACGCUAAGUAGUAUCUGAGUGUCUACUUGUUAAUUCUAUAAUAGUUUAAAUGUCUAUUGUGCACAUUCAAAAUUAGUGGGUAUAUAUGUCAAAUGAGAUCAAGAUAAAGGCACGUUUGUAUAUUAUAUCUAAUAUAGAAGUAUUACUUAUAUGAGAAAAUAAAACAAAUAAAAAUAUCAUUCUCACACAUUACUAAUACACAUUACUAAUUUUCUUCUUUCCCCCACAUGAACCUAAACUUUUCAACAAAAGUAGGCACAUCACUCACUAUAAAUACCACAUGCAUUCUUCUACUUAAAUCCCAUCCAUAACUAAUAAUAUUACUGAUUAAAUAUCUCAUAAAAAUAAGAAAAAUGAAAAUGAUGAAAUUUUUUGUGCUUGUUGUAACUAUUUUAGCAUUGUUGCUAAGUGUAGCAAAUGCACAACAAUGUGGAAGUCAAGCUGGUGGAGCUUUGUGUGCCAAUGGGUUAUGUUGUAGUCAAUAUGGCUAUUGUGGCACUACUCCUGAUUACUGUGGACAGGGAUGCCAGAGUCAAUGCAACUAAAUUAUGUCUUGUGUGUACGUUCUAGCUUGAAGGCUAUGAUAAUAAUAAGGUAAUAUAUAUCCAUGUGGUUGUGUGUUUAAAAUAUAUAAAUUUGUAUUACUAGAAUAAAGUGGGAACAUGUAUGUACUGUGAGUUAAUUCCACAAGACCAAGAAUAUAGUGUCUGGUCAUGAACACUAUAUAUGUACUAGUUUGUUUGUUUUCUAUUUCAAUGUGAUGUUUAUUAAGAAUGGUCAAAAACCACUUAAUAAAAAUGUCCACUAUUUAAGUAUUAUUAGAUUCAUUCAAAUAAUUUUACUUUUCAUAUCAUGUUUUCAUCCAUGUGUUAAACAUAUAUAUCAAAUAAAUAGUCCAAUUCAAAUUAGAAAGAAGCAACGCGCAAGUCAAAUAACAAAUAGAUCAGACUUUAACACAUAAACAAUUCAUAGUCAACAAUUAUAAUUACCACAUAAUCAACUAUAUCAAUAAAGAUCGUACAGUCAUUCAAUACUCACUGUUAGGAUCGAAAAUAAUUAGAUGUAAUGCGAAAGUUAACAAAGAAAACUUCGAUAGACCUCGAUAGAUCGCGCUCGAGUAAGAAGACAAACAAGAAAUGUAUCAAAAGACACAAAGAUUUAACGUGGUUCGAUCAAUCGAUCUACGUCCACAAAGGAAUGAAAUAUUCACUAUAUAAAUAUGAGAGUACAAAAUAUAGAGAGAAUUUAUUACAUCAAUCAAUUCACUAGGAAUACAAGGGAGGUUCACACAAGUGAUAACGUAUUAAACUUGUGUUCCACAAAUUUUCCCCACAAGAAACGGACUAGCCAAUUAUAAACCAUUUCCUACAAAAAAAAAAAAAGGAUAGCCAAGGUUAAACCUUUUCCUAAAAUAAAUAAACAUAUAUAUGGUAAGAAACUCAGACCAAAUAAUACCCAAAAUUCACUACAUCAUGAAACAAAACAGCAAUAAAUAAAUUAAAGCAUACACACAUGCUAAGUGAUUUAUAUAUGCAAAUAUUCAUGAUCUGCAGUGAGCAAACUCCAUACAUGGACCAAAACGGCGUGGUAGUCGACUAAUAUAUAUAUAGUAUAUAAUAAAAAGCAAAAUAUACAAUAAUAUUUGACAAAUUAAAAAGUUAGUAUACAUAAAGUGUGCAAACACUACUUAAUAAAAGAUUCUUAUUUAGUUGCAACUUUUUCUGGUAUAUAUUUUCUCAACUUUUAGUCAAGUGGAGUCUUGAAUAGAUUUGAUCUUUCUGAAUUUCUAAUCAUACAAAAGGCAAUCUUUUGGGUAAUAACUGCAGAAAAAAUUACUUUCCUUGCAAGAAGAAAAAGGGGAAGAAGCAGGGUCGGACCCACGUUGGGUCCAGGGUAUUCAUCCGAACACCCUCGGCAAAAAAAAAAAACGAUAUAUAUAAGGUAAAUUUUUUAUAUUUUUGUAGAUACAUAUAUUUUGAACCCCUUAAUAACAAAUAAAAAUAGAUGGCUUAAUGGUAAGACCCUUGAAUAUUAAGUUGCACGCCCAAGGUUUGAAUGCCUUCAACAUUUAUUUAUUUUCCUUUAUAGUUUCAAGCAUUUUUUAUUCAAAGGACCCAUUUCGAAAGACUUAUUUACACGUUUAUAUUUUUAUUUUUUGAACCUCCUAAACAAAAAUCCUAGGUGCGCCGCUGGGAAGAAGAGUUUAUUAAAUUGCAAGAAAGUAUUGAAUAUAGCAAGAUCUUUGAUUUACCAUUAAUAAUUGAUUGUACAAAUUAGUGUUGUCAAUCUGUGUUAAGAAAAUCAGAAAUUACUUGUUGUAAUAAAUCAUUCAGAAACACGAAGUAACUGAGAUUUUUUAGAACCAGUAAAUAAGAUGAACAGAACUUUAUUUGUAAAAAAUAAUUUAAUCUGUAAAACUUACCAGAAUCUGCAAUACUCUUUCAGAAAAUUUAGGAAAAAAAUCAAGUCCACUGAAUUCACAGUGUCCCCUUAAGGAAAUUAUUUCCCUCUAGUAUCCGAGGUUUGAUUUGGAAUAUAACCUCCCAGGGUAAAAUGAUCUUAAUCAGUAGAGUAUAGAUACCAAAAACUCUACUGUCAGCGAAUCAAUCCACAGCAGGAAAGUACACGAAGAAAUAUGUGUUUUUAAGAAGAAGGAAGAUCAGAAAAUUCGUUAGUCAAUAUUCUGAAGACUGAAUGGUAUUUAUAGGCAAGAAUAAUAUAUUCUGAAAGGAUGCACGACCAUUAAUGAAAGGUUGCAAACUUUCAAAUGGUAUUGACUGUUCCUGAAAGUUGCAACCUUUCAGAACAGUGGCGGGAAUUUUUAAAUAUAACGGAAUUUAAAACGGGUCACGCGCGCGGAUCCGAGUCGGGUCGGGUUAACUAAAAAGUUGAAAACAUUUCGGUUAAUUUCUGUUAUCAACUAAUUAAUUGAAAAUAAUUUUUGGCCAUUUAAUUAAUUAAAUAAAUAAUUAAAACAAAUUUAUCCAAAAAAUUAUCUCUCGAUCGAUCAUUUGCCAAAGCCAAAGUCAAAGCGAGCGAUGACGACGACGGCGCGAGGGGGGUCCCUCUUUCCAACCCUUUUAACAAUUAAUAGGAGUGUUUAUUUAUUUAAACUCUCCUAUUUUCAUUUCCAUUACCGACGAGGGACUAUUGACUUUUUUAUUAAAGCAUUAGAGGACUUUUCAAAUUCCCAACCUUUCAAGUUCUAAACUUUUCAAAUUCCUCUCCUUCCCUCUAUUUCCCAUCAAUUCUUGCUACAUACCCAACAAUCCCCCACAUUGAUGGAGAAUAGUUAUAACAUAGGAAUGCACGGACAAUUGUGUACUUUACAAGCAAGGAUUAAUUGCAUCUGGAUAAGUAGGUUUCCCCUUGGACUUUCCGUAGUGAGCAUAUGUCGGAUAUACUCGGUCAAUCGGUAGAUGUGAUAUCUUUGAACCGUUGAACUUUGGUGUAUACCUAGACAACCAUAUGUCACACAAUUAACCCUUUACUGUUUAUGAUUCUUACGGUUGUGUUCUUUUCAGCCAUGAACACCUCCUGGUUUCAUGAGUGUAUAGAGAAUAGACUUUUGACAUAAAAAUCUCUUUGAAGCGGCUUCCACUUCACACUCACAUAGGUGAUUUCUAACCGUGUCAUCUCGUAGAUACACUAUUUGGUCGAAUCUACCAAACUUAGCAAAUCAUUAAAAUCUUUAAGCUUUAUUACCUCAUUAACAAGACUUAAAGUCUUAACCUUUUCCUGAACAUUAUCUUCAUCAUGAGAAUGGAUUGAGUUAAUUGACAAUGUCGAACCGUCAGCCACAACUUUGUUUUUCUCCUUGAAUCUAGCUCUUGGGAUCUCCAGUCCGCUAGAUAGAGUUACCGUCAUGCUGACUUGUCCUAAGCCGUAAACCCAUUCCCUUAGAUGAUCUUUCAACUGCCUCUCUCACUAGGCCUUUCGUUAGUGGAUAUGACACAUUAUCGCUUGACUUUACAUAGUCAAUUGUGAUAAUUCCAGUAGAGAGCAGUUGUCUUAUGGUGUUAUGUCUACGUCGUAUAUGACGAGACUUCCCGUUGUACAUAACGCUCCCUGCCCUACCUAUUGUUGCUUGACUAUCGCAAUGUAUGCAAAUUGGUCCAACAGGUUUGGGCCAGAAUGGAAUAUCCUCUAGGAAAUUCCGGAGCCAUUUCGCUUCUUCACCAGUCUUAUCCAAAGCAAUGAAUUCAGAUUCCAUUGUGGAGCGAGCAAUACAUGUCUGUUUGGAAGAUUUCCAAGAGACAGCUCCUCCACCAAGUAUAAAUACAUAACCACUCGUGAAUUUUACAUCAUUUGACCCGGUGAUCCAAUUUGCAUCACUAUAUCCUUCAUUCACAGCAGGAUAUUUAUUAUAAUGCAAAGCAUAAUGUUGUGUCCAUUUUAGAUAACCCAACACACGUUUCAUAGCCAUCCAGUGAGUUUGAUUCGGAUUACUAGUGUACCGACUCAGUUUACUAAUAGCACAUGCUAUAUCUGGUCGCGUGCAAUUCAUAAUAUACAUCAAACUUCCCAACACUCUGGCAUAUUCCAAUUGAGAGUCACUUUGACCUUCAUUCUUUUUAAAUGUACAACUUAAAUCAAUUGGAGUUUUGACUACAUUGAAAUUCAAGUAAUUGAACUUAUCCAAUACUUUUUCAAUAUAAUGAGAUUGAGAUAAUGCUAGUCCCUGGGGAGUUUUGAUAAUCCUGACCCCUAAGAUCAAAUCAGCAACUCCUAAGUCUUUCAUAUCAAACUUGCUGGACAACAUGCGCUUAGUAGCAUUUAUAUCGUCAAUUUCUUUACUCAUUAUUAACAUGUCAUCAACAUACAAACAAACAAUGACUUCAUCAUUCAUAACGUUUUUAAUGUAAACACAUUUAUCACAUUCGUUAAUCUUGAAUCCAUUUGCCAACAUUAUUUGAUCAAAUUUAGCAUGCCAUUGUUUGGGUGCUUGCUUGAGUCCAUAAAGUGACUUCACAAGUCUGCACACUUUCUUUUCUUUACCAGGAACUAUAAACCCUUCAGGUUGUUCCAUGUAAAUUUCUUCCUCUAACUCUCCAUUUAAGAAUGCUGUCUUUACAUCCAUUUGGUGGAUUUUAAGAUCAUGCACUGCUGCUAGUGCUAUUAAUAUCCUAAUUGAUGUUAUCCUUGUUACUGGAGAGUAUGUGUCAAAGUAGUCCAGACCUUCCUUUUGUCUGUACCCUUUGACUACCAGUCUAGCCUUAUAUUUGUCAAUAGUCCCAUCAGGUUUCAUUUUCCUUUUAAAGAUCUAUUUUGAUCCUAAAGGUUUAUUUCCUGGAGGAAGAUCAGUCAAUUCCCAAGUGUGAUUGCUUAAAAUUGAUUCAAUCUCACUAUUGACUGCUUCUUUCCAAUAAGUUGACUCUGACGAAGACAUAGCUGCUUUAAAUAUUUGAGGCUCAUUUUCAAGCAAUAGUGCUACAAAAUAUGGUCCGAAAGAAACAGAUUUUCGUUGUCGAGUACUUCGCCUAGGUUCCUCAGUAGUUAGAAUAAUUUCCAUUGAUUCUUCUCGUCGUCGUUUAGGUCUUUCACUUGUUGACUCACUUUCAGUUUUAUACAGAUAAAUGUUUUCAAAAAACUCUGCACUAUCUGAUUCUAUUAUCGUAUUAACAUGAAUCUCAGGAUUAUCAGAUUUGUGAACCAAAAAUCGACAAGCUUUACUAUUCACAGCAUACCCAAUAAAGACACAAUCUAUUGUUUUGGGUCCAAUUUUAACCCUCUUAGGUAAAGGAACCUCUACCUUGGCUAAACACCCCCACACUUUGAAAUAUUUCAAGUUGGGUUUUCUUCCCUUCCACAACUCAUAUGGAAUUGAUUGUGUUUUUUGAUGGGGUACUCUAUUGAGUAUUUUAUUAGCUGUAAGGAUGACUUCCCCCCAAAGAUUUCGUGGUGAACAAGAAUUGAUCAUUAAGGCAUUCAUCAUUUCCUUUAAUGUUCUGUUCUUCCGUUCUGCCAAACCAUUUGACUGUGGUGUAUAAGGUGCAGUAGUUUGAUGAAUAAUACCAUAUUCCAAACAUAUCUCUGCAAAAGGAGAUUCAUAUUCUCCACCCCUAUCACUCCGAAUCAUUUUUAUCUUUAGAUUCAAUUGGUUUUCCACUUCAUUUUAGUAUUGCUUAAAUGCAUCAAUUGUUUCAUACUUACUAUUAAGCAAAUAUACAUAACAAAAUCGAGUGCAGUCAUCAACAAAAGAUAUAAAAUACUUUUCCCACCACGAGAUAGUGUUGACUUCAUAUCGCAUAUAUCUGUGUGAAUUAAGUCUAAAGUUUUAGAACUUCUUUCAACAAACUUGUAAAAACUUACUUUCCACGCAAAUUUCAGAUUUUGACUUAUCGCAUUUAAAAUCAGGCAAUACUUCUAGAUUAACCAAUUUUCGCAAGGCUUUGUAAUUUACAUGUCCCAAACGGGCAUCCCAUAAAUCACUUAACUCCAAUAAGUAAACAGAAGCAGAAUUUUUAUUAAUACUGUCAAUAACCAUUACACUUAGUUUGAAAAGACCCUCAUUGAGGUAGCCCUUUCCUAUGAACAUUUCAUUCUUACUUAUUACAGCUUUAUGACUAACUAGGACACACUUAAACCUGUUCUUAACGAGUAGUGCAACAGAAACUAAAUUCUUCCUAAUAGUAGGGACAUCCAGAACAUUGUUUAAAGUCAACACUUUGCCGGAUGUCAUUUUCAACAUUACUUUUCCAGUUCCUGCAAUCCUUGCUGUUGCGUGUUUCCCAUGAAUAAAUCUUCAUCGUACUCAGCAGGAGUGUACGUUGCAAGGCUUCUUUUGCAGAGCAAAUAUGUCUAGUAGCACCCGAGUCGAGAAACCACUCCUUGGGAUUUCCAACUAAGUUACACUCUGAUAUCAUUGCACACAAGUCAUCUGCAUCUUCUAUUUUUUCCAUGAUGUUUGCUUGACUUUUGCCUUUGCCUUUGUAUUUAUCCUUUCUUGGAGCAUGACAAUCAGAAGAUCUAUGACCAGCCUUGCCACAAUUAUAACAGUUGCCUUUGAAUUUCUUCUUGGCCUGUUCUGACUUCUGCCCGUUGGACUUCUUUCUCUUUUUGUCUUUGGUAGGAGCUUCUUCAACAAUAUUAACUCCAAUGAUUGUUGAACUCUUACACGACUUCUUUUCGGCAUUUCUGUUAUCUUCCUCAAUCUUGAGACGAAUCACAAGAUCUUCAAGCUUCAUUUCUUUACGCUUAUGCUUUAGAUAAUUCUUGAAAUCAUUCCACGAAGGAGGCAACUUCUCGAUCAUUGUAGCCACUUGAAAAGCUUCAUUUACUACCAUAUCUUCAUCAAUCAGAUCAUGGAGAAUAAGUUGAAGUUCCUGCACUUGUGAUCCAACAGUUUUACUAUCUACCAUUUUAUAGUCUAAAAACUUUGCGACCACAAAUUUUUUCAAGCAUGCAUCUUCUGUCUUAUAUUUCUUCUCAAGUGCAUUCCACAACUCUUUUGAAGUUGUUAUUGCACUAUAGACAUUAUAUAAGUCAUCCUAUAAAGCACUCAAAAUGUAACCUUUACAUAGGAAGUCUGACUGUUUCCAUGCUUCAACAAUCAUAAAUUUUUCCCUGUCUGGCAUAUCAUCAGCAGGUACUGGAGUAUCUUCACUUGUAAAUUUCUGCAGACCAAGAGUGGUAAGCCAGAAAAAUACUCAUUGCUGCCAUCCUUUGAAAUUCACACCUGUGAAUUUACCCGGUUUCUCUGCUUGUGACACAAGAGUUCGGGUUGGUGCAGCAAAAGCCACUGUAACACCAGUGUUUUCCAUUUCUGAUAAACAAAAUAUAUACAAUAUAAGUAAGCAAUAAAUUAUAAUUGCAGACUUAAAGGAGUAUAAAUCACAAAGAUUUUUGUCUCCACCAGAAACACAGAUUUAUAUAAUUUCCUUAAGAUUGUUGCCAAUCUGUGUUAAGAAAAUCAGAAAUUACUGGUUGUAAUAAAUCAUUCAGAAACACGAAGUAACUGAGAUUUUUAGAACCAGUAAAUAAGAUGAACAUAACUUUAUUUGUAAAAAAUAAUUUAAUCUGUAAAACUUACCAGAAUCUGGAAUACUCUUUCAGAAAAUUUAGGAAGAAAAUCAAGUCCACUGAAUUCACAGUGUCCCCUUAAGGAAAUUAUUUCCCUCUAGUAUCCGAGGUUUGAUUUGGAAUAUAACCUCCCAGGGUAAAAUGAUCUUAAUCAGUAGAGUAUAGAUACCAAAAACUCUACUGUCAGCGAAUCAAUCCACAGCAGGAAAGUACACGAAGAAAUAUGUGUUUUUAAGAAGAAGGAAGAUCAGAAAAUUCGUUAGUCAAUAUUCUGAAGACUGAAUGGUAUUUGUAGGCAAGAAUAAUAUAUUCUGAAAUGUUGCAACCCUUUCAGAAUUGACACGACCAUUAAUGAAAGGUUGCAAACUUUCAAAUGGUAUUGACUGUUCCUGAAAGUUGCAACCUUUCAGAACAGUGGCGGGAAUUUUUAAAUAUAACGGAAUUUAAAACGGGUCACGCUCGCAGAUCCGAGUCGGGUUGGGUUAACUAAAAAGUUGAAAAUAUUUCGGUUAAUUUCUUUUAUCAACUAAUUAAUUGAAAAUAAUUUUUGGCCAUUUAAUUAAUUAAAUAAAUAAUUAAAAUAAAUUUGUCCAAAAAAUUAUCUCUCGAUCAUUUGGCAAAUCCAAAUUCGAAGCGAGCGAGCGACGACGACGGCGCAAGGGGGAUCCCUCUUUCCAACCCUUUUAACAAUUAAUAGGAGUGUUUAUUUAUUUAAACUCUCCUAUUUUCAUUUCCAUUACCGAUGAGGGACUAUUGCCUUUUUUCUUAAAGCAUUAGAGGACUUUUCAAGUUCCCAACCUUUCAAGUUCUAAACUUUUCAAAUUCCUCUCCUUCCCUCUAUUUCCCAUCAAUUCUUGCUACAUACCCAACAAUUAGUUGAGAUCGAUCGUUGCAAUCGUUGGUUUUCAACUUAGAAGCUUAGUCCUAGUAUACAUGAGUCAUCAAUUUGUGUCGAUUAUGACGGUGUACUUUUCAAUAAGACAGUUAUCAGCUCAAGUUGAUAACGUCUGUAUCGUUUGUACACAAAAUAAAAUGGAGUCUAGUUCAAGAUGGUUAGUAAUAGGUCAAUGUUUGAGCCUAUUUUACUCUCUAUUGUACCUACUUGUGGAAAACUGCUGAAAGAAAUAAUAUAAAGCAAUAUUUAUGGCAAAAGAGUAAGCUUUAAAUUUCAAACCUCAAGAACUUGUUGCCCAUGAUAUUCCAUGGUCAAUAUUAGAAAUGAAUGAACCACAUAUUAGAUUACUUCAACCGUGUUCAAAUUUGAAUAAGUCAACAAAUGGUUUUUGAAACAUUAUUAGGUAGGCCAAUAUCUCUUCAGUCUUGCUUAUCUGUACUUUGGUGAGAUAUUUUUUAAUUCUCACAAUUCUAUUCUUAGAAUCUGAAUCUUUCGUUGUAACACCUCACAAUUCUAUUUUUACAAUGUAAAUCUUCCGUUGUAAGUAUAUAACCUCGCACAGGUCUGCAUUAGUUCAUUGAGUGGACCAGGUUAGCUUUGUUGUAAUGUCAUUAGUAAUAUUUAUUGCAUAUGUUAUCUAUUUAUGAAGUUGUGCUUACCUAUUCACAUUCCAUAUAUAUGGAGUUGGAUGAUGAUUUUAUCAGUACAUCGUGAAUUUUGUAUACUUAUACUGCAUUUGUUUUUUCUUUGUUAACUACAUGGCAUAUUUUGAUGGGUCCAUGGCGACCUCAAUUAUGAGUCCAACAUUUCUUGAAUCCAAGGGUGAGUUAAUUUUUUCGAGAUGCUAUGUGUUCAUCUUUUCCCUGUGGUCUAUUUUUUGGAUUUAGAUUGAUUUCUUUUUUGGGAUUGCAUCCCAUAUUCUAGAUUUCAUAGAUAUUUAGGUACGCGAGUUUCGGGUUGUUGAGAGAGUGGGGGUUUCUGGAUGGUGGUUGAUACUUAUAAAGACUUGUUUUGCGUAUUGAAAAUGUUUUAAGUGAUCAAUUGCUUGUGAAUUAUUGGUUCUUCCACUGAAGAUUUAAUGUGGGUGCCUCUCAUGACGGGUUGGAUCGUGACACUUUGAAAAUGCAAUCAAUCUGAAUAUAAGAGAAUUUUUAUGGCUCAGCUGCCUGAAUAUUGCUUAUGUGAACGAAUUUCAAAAAUUACAAAUAUGACAUGUGAUUUAACUGUCUCGAAAAACUAUGCUUUUUGAAAAAAAAAGAGCUCUAUUUUAUGUAUUCGAAGGGAAAUGGGUGUUAGAUUUUGUAGACUACUAAAGAAAUUGUGAAGUUAAAGUAGUUGAUAGAGUUGAAGAUGAAGAUGGAGGAAAAAAAGAAUGCUUUAAUCAAGAAGAAGCUUUUGAGGAAGACAAUAAAAUAAAGAGAGAAAAAAAUUAAAUUUCUGUGGGCCAAUAAGAAAAUUCAUAUAUCUUAAUAAAAGUCAAUAUACAAAGAAAAUGAUAUUUAAAAUAUUAAUCAUAUAUUGACCUAUAAAAAAUGACAUGUGUAUUAUUUUAUUACAAAAAAUCUUUUUUAAAUUUUUCACACGCUAUUAGCUGAGUGAACUCAUUUUCUUUGACAUGUCAUCUCUUAUGAUUGCAUUUAAUUCAAUUUAAAGAUGUUAAAAGAAUAUUUAAACGUCUAAUUGUUUAAGUACUAAAAUAAAUUAUCCGACCAACAAUUUUUUAAAAUGUAUUUUCUCAUUAAAUAACGACACUAGUUCUAGAAUGGGUUCUCCUCCCCCGAUUUCCCGACAAAAACAUGUUAAAAAUCCCACUUCACAAGUUAUUACUCCCUUCAAUGAUUGUUGUAAUUUUUUUAUAAGAAUAUUUGGUAUAAUAUUAAUUGAAUUAAAUUUUAUGAGUAACAACUAUUUAAUUAUUAAAUAAAAACUAAAGUACUUUAUAGAUUUUUAGGACAUGGCCAGCUGCAUGUUUUCUGUUAGUAUCACAUGAUUGAUACAAGAACAUUACAAUAAUAACGUCAACUUACCUAACAUAUCAAUCAAUCAUCAAUCUAUAAAAACAACUAAAAAAAUGAUCAUGCCUCUGACAUCAAUAUCUGUUAUAUAUUAUAGUCAUGUUAUAUAUCCUACAAAUUAUAUCAGUAUCUAACCUAACUUUAUUUGGCACCUCCCCUUUCAAUAAAAGCUAUAAGUAUUCUCUCCACUUAUAGUGCACUUAUUUGUUACUACAAGGUACUUCUUUAUCUUAAUUCUUCUUAGUUUGUUUUUUUAGAAGAAUGACUAAAAAUUUCAAUUUUCAUAUCACGUGUAUUAAGAUUAUAAAAUUAAAUAUCAUUUUGAUAUAUUAUACAUAUCUUUAAUAUGAUAUCAUAAAAUUUAACUCUUUAAAUUCAGAUAUUAUUAAAUAAAUUUGAACAAAAGAAGUAAUUAUUUUUUAGAUAGUAUAUGUUAUACAUUUAUAAAAGCAUGGAAGCCCUCUAAAUCUAAAGACACAUAAAAAUAUUUUUUUUUUCUUCUUUUUUCCUAAACAGAUAUAUGUGUACGUGUAUAACCCCACCAGCAUGUUUCUUGUUAGUGGAUGGAAAUGGAAAUAAUUUUUGGUCUACACAAAUGCUGAGUCAAAUACACAUAUUAUACAUAAUGUAUUUUAUUAACUAUAUAUAUGCAUAUUGUCUCUUAGUGAAUGAAAUGUCUCAUUACCUUAUCGAAUCAUUCAAGAGGAACAAUCAUUAUGAUUAAUAUAGUGUAAUAUGUGAUGGAUAUCAUGUAAAUAUAAAUUAAAAAAUAAAAAAGCGACAGUACCUAUACUAUAUGUUAGGAUUAGCAAAAUAUUGUAGGAAUGGUGAUGAACACUAGGCCCAGGUCGUACUCAUGAAAAUCAGGCCUAGGUCGUAGUCCCUAAAAUCAAGUCUCAUCUAAAGAAUGAAGAGGAACAGGUCGCAGGAGUUGUUUCUAAAGUCAAAGUCGAUCCAAUGUUCAAGACCCAUCAUUCAGAUCAACGUUCUCAAUCAAGAAAGCCCACACACUCGUGUCUCAUUACAUUUCAUCAUAUUUUUGUACAUAGCAUAAGAUUAUUCUCUUAGAUGCUUCUUCUAGAAAUUGUAUGGGUGCACAAAGUUUGUUAGGAGUUUAUUAACCUCUUAGAUUAUUUUACGUUUCUGCCAUUUUAUAUUAGGAUAAAUAGCUACUUUUUGUUCAAUAAAAUUCACUCAAAAAAUUUCCUCACAUUUUUGUCUUUCACAGUUUCUUCUAAUUUUCCCACAAAUAUUAGUGACAGAACCUAUUCAAUGAGGAAUUUAGUAAAAUAUAUAUGUAACUUUGUUGCUUUUCAUAUUUAUUUAAUCUAAGAAAAACUAGUGGUUAGGAGAAUGAUUGAGGCAUAAAUCACUUUUAAAGUUCUAAUUAAUUAAUUAGCAUUUUUUCCAACUUGGAGCAAAAGUGCAAUGGUGAAAACGAAAUAGAGGACCAUCUAUCCCAAACAGUACGGUGAAGUGAUAGGAUUGCUCCUUUGUACUAGAGAUUUUGUGUUCGAGUUCUGGUGUGAAAAUAUUUUUGGUAGAAAGAAUUUUCUCCUAAAUGAAACUCUACAUGGCACAAAUUCAAAUUAAUUAGAUUUCAUUGUGAAUAUUAGAUGAAAAAAAAUUCAUCUUACUUAUUAAUGUCAACAGUCGGCGGACUACGCUUUACACUGAUGUGUACUUAUUACUUUAUUUUGCUAAUUGUAUAUUUUGAAGUGAAAUGAUAUUUUUGUGGUCGAUUACAAUUUAAAUAAAAGACAAUAACUUUUUUAAGUUCGUGUGUUAUUUAUAAAAGUAAAAAUAUCUAGUACAAUAUAUGAAACAACAUAAGAAAUUUAUAAAUAACUACAAAUUUGAAUGUAUGUAUAACUACAAAUUCCUUUCGGAGACAUGCGGGUGAAACAACGUUCUUCUUCUCAUGAUGUUUGGGCGUAACAAGAGGCCGCUUCAAGUAUUUGGCCACUACAAUUAAUUUGGAAACUAAAAUGUGUCUAUGUUUGUGUGUUUAAAAAUAUAUGAAUUUGUAUUUCUAGAAUAAAAGUGGGAACAUGUAUGUACUGUGAUUUCCACAAGAUCGAACAAGAAUAGUGUCAGGUCAUGAACACUAUAUAUGUACUAGUUUGUUUGUUUUCUAUUUCAAUGUGAUG